Molecule: long non-coding RNA, 992 nt
Filed under: Equus caballus (horse)
Lineage: Eukaryota; Metazoa; Chordata; Mammalia; Perissodactyla; Equidae
Description: lncRNA (ENSECAG00000050196.1)
Source: RNAcentral
AGUAUUUUCAGACAUGCUCAGACCCAGUGAGCAUGUCCCAGACUCCACUGCUGAGAAACACUGGCUGAAGUUUCUAUAAGAAGACGACCAGGAUAGCUAUUCCAGGAUAUCCCUCGCUUUCUCAUUGACAUAUCCUCAGAAUAUGGGCCAUUCAGAAAAUCCAUGGUUCCAUAGAUUCAGACCUGGAGAAGAGAAAAGGUGUCACAGAAGGCAGUGACAACUCAGGGACCUGCCUGUGGGACAGAUUACCACUUCCACCCUCAGGAGCUUUCCUUUUAAAGGCGCAGCCCACGCAAUCCUGUCGAUACAAGCCCAGGCUGACCUGCUGAAGGACGAGAGGCGCGUCACCGCCAUCGCCCCAGCUAACACCUGGACGACCCCAGACACUUGAAUGACGCCGUCCUGGGCAAUUGGACUCAAAGUUUCCCUUGCUAAGAGAACUUUCCAGCAGAAGAAACUCAAGGCUGCAGAGCAUCCAUCUGCCCUGCAGAGGGCACCAGGGGCUCAGACAGCAGAAUUUACUGCCUCGUUAGGCAGCCUCGGAAAGAAAAGCUCUCCGGGCCCUGCGCUCGCGCUGUGCAUUGUGGGGCUCCUGAGAGCCAGCGCCACCGCUCUUCCAAGGCUGUCGUGUCGGACUUUCAGAUUGGGCCUCAGGUUAUGUAUUUGCAUAUGUAGUUAUGUGGAAAGCUUUGCAACAUGUUUGGAUCAUUAUUAUUUAUGCUUAAAGAAGAUAAACGUUUUUAGAAGAUCAGGAUGCAAUUCAAGUUCUAAAAUCAUUCAGUCCUUGAUAAUGUUGUGCUACGAAAAUACUAAUAGUGAAACCUCAUUAAUACACACUAGCUAAAGACCAAUCUACCUGACCUAGCAAAAAAACCAUCAUAUGCUUAUGAUUUUUUUUUUGAGGAAGAUUAACCCUGAGCUAACAUCUGCUGCCAAUCCUCCUCUUUUUGCUGAAGAAGAUUGGCCCUCAGCUAACAUCCAUGCCCAUCUUC